This 1721-nucleotide long non-coding RNA is filed under the name Homo sapiens (human). RNAcentral's name for it is "non-protein coding lnc-PIP4K2C-1:1". Lineage: Eukaryota; Metazoa; Chordata; Mammalia; Primates; Hominidae. The record is from RNAcentral.
CAAGCUCCUUUUGAUAUUCCCUGCCCCAGAGCUCAUGACCAGAACCCAGAGCUGAUUUAAAAUAUUUUGAAAAAUGGAGGAGGCAGACUGCUCCCAGCAGCCUGUCAAUGGCUGCUCAUCUGUCCAUGGAGAUGGUUACAGGCAGGUGUAGUCAAAAUGAUUGAUUCCUUGGGUUUGGGGGUGAAUAGGCUGGGAAAUUUCUGAGCCUUUUUUUUUUGUCACAGUGCCCUCAAGUUGAAGUGAUGAGCUGGAUUUCUUUCUUGUUCCAUACUGGGCGGCAUGCUCCUCCCAUCUCCACCCCUUGGUUUGGGGGCUUCCAGCUCAUUGGCAAAAUCUCUCUAGUUGCCUUCCUUUCAAGCUGGAGCCUGACUUUUCCCCAAUGUACAUUUUUUUUUUCUCCACAAAGAGUUCCUUCUCUAAUGUCCCCAUCUGGUAUUAAGUGCACUUUAAAGAAAGGGGCAGGGUGGAUUUUCAAGAGGUGGGAAGCUCUAAGGCUUGACCCUGAGGGGUCUUCUCCCAGCCAUUCUCAGCCCAUAUGCAGCACCCUCCAUACUGAAGAGGACUGUUGUUUUAGUUUCAGACGGUCCUUUCCUUCCACAUGGUGCUAAGGUGGUUUUCUAGGUAACUGCAGGGAUGGAGGUCACUAGCCAUUCCAAACCAGGAGAGAAAGUCUGGUGUCCUGAUAUCCAGUCUUUUCUAGGAGGAAGACCAAGAUUCUCCAGCGGCAGGGCAGCCUAUCACCCAACUUCUAAGUCAGGAAAGGAAGCUGAGUGGGAAUGCCAGCUGGUAAGCGCAGGCUGCACUGGCCCAUGACUCCUUCAAGGAAAAGAGGCCCUGCUCCCUUUACCUGCUGAGCUCCUUUUAGCAGUUAGGGAGAACUGCAGGGGGAAAAAUACCAGUGGAGUGUGGAAUAAAUCCAAAGCAGUGAUUUUUAAAUGUUUUUCAAAAACAAAUCUUACAUAGAACCCCAAUAUAAAAAAUAAAGUAAUGCAGACCUGGGCAGUUUGCAUUUUUUUUUUUUUUUUUUUUUGGUGGAAGAAGUCUCAGCGUCUCUUAGGACUGACUGUUCAAAGGCUCCUCAGCAAAUGAGCCCUUGAACAGUCCUAAGAGACCCUGAGGAUUCUGUGGAGUAGUUUGAAAACCAUUGUUCUGAGGAAGGGGGUCCAAUCUGGCUCCUCUGCACUAAAGCUGCAACUCAUGGAAAAGAGGGCAACGGUGGGGUAGACAAGCCAUGCUGUCUCCAGACCCACUAGGGUGGAAGGAAGGUUCCUGUGGGCCUGUGGACUUAGGCUAAUAUUUGCUGUCAGCAGGGCACUUAAGAAUCCAGGGGGUUUUAUGUAAUGUUGCCACCACAUGGUUCUUUUAAAAACACAUAAGGAAAUGUGAGGGUGUAGCGCAGAUGAGGAGAGAGAUGACACAGAGGGAGCAGCCUUCUCUUUAGCAAGAUGUAAGGGAAAUAUAAUUCACUUACAUAAAAAAGAAACAACACACACGCAAACCCUUCACCAGAAGCUUCACACUACAUCCUCCUCCUCCUCCUGCUCCCCACCUUCACCGCAUCCCUUUCAGAGCCAGGGUCACUGCAAGGGGCACCUGGCCUGCCCACUCACAUCUGCCAAAAUGUUGCAUGCCAGCGUGGAAGACAAACCAAACUGCGCAACCCCCUGUGUGUAUUUACUUGGUGUACAUAGAUAACUUUAAAAUAAAAUAAAUUCAAUGAU